UGAGGAAUAUUGGACAAUGGGUGGAAGCCUGAUCCAGCCAUCCGCGUGUAGGAAGACGGCCCUAUGGUUGUAAACUACUUUUAUCUGGGAUGAAAACCUACUUACGUGUAAGUAGCUGAAGGUACCAGAUGAAUAAGCACCGGCUAACUCCGUGCCAGCAGCCGCGGUAAUACGGAGGGUGCAAGCGUUAUCCGGAUUUAUUGGGUUUAAAGGGUCCGUAGGCGGGCUUAUAAGUCAGUGGUGAAAUCCGACAGCUUAACUGUCGAACUGCCAUUGAUACUGUGAGCCUUGAGUAAGGUUGAAGUGGCUGGAAUAAGUAGUGUAGCGGUGAAAUGCAUAGAUAUUUACUUUAGAACACCAAUUGCGAAGGCAGGUCACUAAGUCUUAACUGACGCUGAUGGACGAAAGCGUGGGAGCG
This 418-nucleotide ribosomal RNA is filed under the name uncultured Elizabethkingia sp. RNAcentral describes it as "bacterial SSU rRNA". It matches the Rfam family "Bacterial small subunit ribosomal RNA", at positions 355 to 770 of the family's 1533-position model. The record is from RNAcentral. Lineage: Bacteria; Pseudomonadati; Bacteroidota; Flavobacteriia; Flavobacteriales; Weeksellaceae.